This 414-nucleotide ribosomal RNA is filed under the name uncultured microorganism. Its description in RNAcentral is "bacterial SSU rRNA". It matches the Rfam family "Bacterial small subunit ribosomal RNA", at positions 9 to 412 of the family's 1533-position model. The record is from RNAcentral.
GAGUUUGAUCAUGGCUCAGGAUGAACGCUGGCGGCGUGCCUAAUACAUGCAAGUCGAGCGAACGGACGAGAAGCUUGCUUCUCUGAUGUUAGCGGCGGACGGGUGAGUAACUCGUGAAUAACCUACCUAUAAGACUGGGAUAACUUCGGGAAACCGAGCUAAAUACCGGAUAAUAUUUUGAACCGCAUGGUUCAAAAGUGAAAGACGGUCUUGCUGUCACUUAUAGAUGGAUCCGCGCUGCAUUAGCUAGUUGGUAAGGUAACGGCUUACCAAGGCAACGAUGCAUAGCCGACCUGAGAGGGUGAUCGGCCACACUGGAACUGAGACACGGUCCAGACUCCUACGGGAGGCAGCAGUAGGGAAUCUUCCGCAAUGGGCGAAAGCCCGACGGAGCAACGCCGCGUGAGUGAUGAA